CCUACGGGAGGCAGCAGUGGGGAAUAUUGGACAAUGGGGGGAACCCUGAUCCAGCCAUGCCGCGUGUGUGAAGAAGGCCCUCGGGUUGUAAAGCACUUUCAGUGAGGAAGAACGCCUGGUGGUUAAUACCCAUCAGGAAAGACAUCACCCACAGAAGAAGCACCGGCUAACUCCGUGCCAGCAGCCGCGGUAAUACGGAGGGUGCGAGCGUUAAUCGGAAUUACUGGGCGUAAAGCGCGCGUAGGUGGCUUGAUAAGCCGGUUGUGAAAGCCCCGGGCUCAACCUGGGAACGGCAUCCGGAACUGUCAAGCUAGAGUGCAGGAGAGGAAGGUGGAAUUCCCGGUGUAGCGGUGAAAUGCGUAGAGAUCGGGAGGAAUACCAGUGGCGAAGGCGGCCUUCUGGACUGACACUGACACUGAGGUGCGAAAGCGUGGGUAGCAAACAGGAUUAGAUACCCCGGUAGUC
Molecule: ribosomal RNA, 465 nt
Filed under: Vreelandella stevensii
Lineage: Bacteria; Pseudomonadati; Pseudomonadota; Gammaproteobacteria; Oceanospirillales; Halomonadaceae
Description: partial 16S ribosomal RNA
Rfam family: Bacterial small subunit ribosomal RNA
Source: RNAcentral